UACAGAGGGGGCAAGCGUUGUUCGGAAUUACUGGGCGUAAAGGGCGCGUAGGCGGCCUGCUAAGUCGAACGUGAAAUCCCUGGGCUCAACCCAGGAACUGCGUCCGAUACUGGUUGGCUUGAAUCCGGGAGAGGGACGUGGAAUUCCAGGUGUAGCGGUGUAAUGCGUAGAUAUCUGGAGGAACACCGGUGGCGAAGGCGACGUCCUGGACCGGCAUUGACGCUGAGGCGCGAAAGCCAGGGGAGCAAACGGG
This 253-nucleotide ribosomal RNA is filed under the name uncultured bacterium. RNAcentral describes it as "partial 16S ribosomal RNA". It matches the Rfam family "Bacterial small subunit ribosomal RNA", at positions 524 to 776 of the family's 1533-position model. The record is from RNAcentral.